RNAcentral lists this ribosomal RNA (449 nucleotides) under uncultured organism. RNAcentral's name for it is "partial 16S ribosomal RNA". It matches the Rfam family "Bacterial small subunit ribosomal RNA", at positions 331 to 797 of the family's 1533-position model. The record is from RNAcentral.
GUACACUCCUACGGGAGGCAGCAGUGGGGAAUAUUGGACAAUGGGCGCAAGCCUGAUCCAGCCAUGCCGCGUGAGUGAUGAAGGCCCUAGGGUUGUAAAGCUCUUUCACCGGUGAAGAUAAUGACGGUAACCGGAGAAGAAGCCCCGGCUAACUUCGUGCCAGCAGCCGCGGUAAUACGAAGGGGGCUAGCGUUGUGCGGAUUUACUGGGCGUAAAGCGCACGUAGGCGGACUAUUAAGUCAGGGGUGGAAUCCCGGGGCUCAACCCCGGAACUGCCUUUGAUACUGGUAGUCUUGAGUUCGAGAGAGGUGAGUGGAAGUCCUAGUGUAGAGGUGAAAUUCGUAGAUAUUCGGAGGAACACCAGUGGCGAAGGCGGCUCACUGGCUCGAUACUGACGCUGAGGUGCGAAAGCGUGGGGAGCAAACAGGAUUAGAUACCCUUGUAGUCCC